GCCAGGGUAGCUCAGCGGGUAGAGCACACGGCUGUUAACCGUGGGGUCGGAGGUUCGAGUCCUCCCCCUGGCG
Molecule: transfer RNA, 73 nt
Filed under: Candidatus Pacearchaeota archaeon ex4484_31
Lineage: Archaea; Nanobdellati
Description: tRNA-Asn
Rfam family: tRNA
About the family: Transfer RNA (tRNA) molecules are approximately 80 nucleotides in length. Their secondary structure includes four short double-helical elements and three loops (D, anti-codon, and T loops).
Source: RNAcentral